Molecule: ribosomal RNA, 253 nt
Filed under: uncultured bacterium
Lineage: Bacteria
Also listed under: 1 other name
Description: partial 16S ribosomal RNA
Rfam family: Bacterial small subunit ribosomal RNA
Source: RNAcentral
UACGGGGGGGGCAAGCGUUGUUCGGAAUUAUUGGGCGUAAAGGGUUCGUAGGCGGUCGACUCAGUCAGACGUGAAAUCCCUCGGCUUAACCGGGGAACUGCGUCUGAUACUGGUUGGCUUGAGUGCAGGAGAGGAAUGCGGAAUUCCAGGUGUAGCGGUGAAAUGCGUAGAUAUCUGGAGGAACACCGGUGGCGAAGGCGGCAUUCUGGACUGUAACUGACGCUGAGGAACGAAAGCCAGGGGAGCAAACGGG